GACGAACGCUGGCGGCGUGCUUAACACAUGCAAGUCGAACGGAAAGGCCCUGCUUUUGUGGGGUGCUCGAGUGGCGAACGGGUGAGUAACACGUGAGUAACCUUCCCUUGACUUUGGGAUAACUUCAGGAAACUGGGGCUAAUACCGGAUAGGAGCUCCUGCUGCAUGGUGGGGGUUGGACAGUUUCGGCGGUUGGGGAUGGACUCGCGGCUUAUCAGCUUGUUGGUGGGGUAGUUGCUUAGCAAGGCUUUGACGGGUAGCCGGCCUGAGAGGGUGACCGGCCACAUUGGGACUGAGAUACGGCCCAGACUCCUACGGGAGGCAGCAGUGGGGAAUAUUGCACAAUGGGCGGAAGCCUGAUGCAGCAACGCCGCGUGCGGGAUGACGGCCUUCGGGUUGUAAACCGCUUUCGCCUGUGACGAAGCGUGAGUGACGGUAAUGGGUAAAGAAGCACCGGCUAACUACGUG
Molecule: ribosomal RNA, 468 nt
Filed under: uncultured bacterium
Lineage: Bacteria
Description: partial 16S ribosomal RNA
Rfam family: Bacterial small subunit ribosomal RNA
Source: RNAcentral